GGAUGCGAUCAUACCAGCACUGAAGCACCGGAUCCCAUCAGAACUCUGAAGUUAAGCGUGCUUGGGCAAGAGUAGUACUAGGAUGGGUGACCUCCUGGGAAGUCCUCGUGUUGCAUUCC
RNAcentral lists this ribosomal RNA (119 nucleotides) under Triticum aestivum (bread wheat). Lineage: Eukaryota; Viridiplantae; Streptophyta; Magnoliopsida; Poales; Poaceae. The record is from RNAcentral.